AUUAGUGUUUCCUACAGGUGGUUUUGGCGUGUAAUGGCGCCCUGCCGCGAUUUCUCAACGCCCUGCCCUUUUUGGGAAAAAAAAUUGGCGCCCUGCCCUAAUUUUGUCGAAAUUCCUGACGCCAUGCCUUUAUCGUCGUAAUUAACAACCGGUACUGAAAGACAUAUUUUAUGAAUACCGCUCGAGUUAUUUCCCUUCAAACGUAAACAAAAGUUCACUAGGACGCCAUUUUGUAAUCGAUUUCGUAAUCAGCUGAUUAGCAAACUGCAAUAGAUUGAAUAGUGAAUACAGAUACUAAUCACGGGUCCUGAUUGUAUCCCCCAAGUCCCAGA
Molecule: long non-coding RNA, 332 nt
Filed under: Mytilus galloprovincialis (Mediterranean mussel)
Lineage: Eukaryota; Metazoa; Mollusca; Bivalvia; Mytilida; Mytilidae
Source: RNAcentral